UAAGCGGAGGAAAAGAAACUAACAAGGAUUCCCCUAGUAACGGCGAGUGAAGCGGGAAGAGCUCAAAUUUGAAAUCUGGCGUCCUCAGGGCGUCCGAGUUGUAAUCUAUAGGAACGUUUUCCGUGCCGGCUCAUGUACAAGUCCCUUGGAACAGGGCGUCAUAGAGGGUGAGAAUCCCGUACUUGACAUGAACUACCGGUGCUCUGUGAUACGUCUCCAACGAGUCGAGUUGUUUGGGAAUGCAGCUCAAAAUGGGUGGUAAAUUCCAUCUAAAGCUAAAUAUUGGUGUGAGACCGAUAGCGAACAAGUACCGUGAGGGAAAGAUGAAAAGCACUUUGGAAAGAGAGUUAAACAGUAUGUGAAAUUGUUGAAAGGGAAACGAUUGAAGUCAGUCAUGUCCUUCAGAUUCAGCUGGUUCUGCCGGUGUAUUUCUGUUGGAUGGGGUCAACAUCAGUUUUGGAUGCCGGAUAAAGGUGGGAGGAAGGUAGUACCCCCGGGUAAACUUAUAGCCUCCUAUUGCAUACGGUGACCGGGACUGAGGAACGCAGCUUGCCUUUAUGGCCGGGGUUCGCCCACGUACAAGCUUAGGAUGUUGACAUAAUGGCUUUAAACGACCCGUCUUGAAACACG
Molecule: ribosomal RNA, 630 nt
Filed under: Cryptococcus sp. PYCC 4964
Lineage: Eukaryota; Fungi; Basidiomycota; Tremellomycetes; Tremellales; Cryptococcaceae
Description: eukaryotic LSU rRNA
Rfam family: Eukaryotic large subunit ribosomal RNA
Source: RNAcentral